This is a small nuclear RNA of Dryobates pubescens (Downy woodpecker), 107 nucleotides long. Lineage: Eukaryota; Metazoa; Chordata; Aves; Piciformes; Picidae. The record is from RefSeq and is a predicted model, not a curated record.
GCGCUUGCUUCGGCAGCACAUAUACUAAACUUGGAACGAUACAGAGAAGAUUAGCAUGGCCCUUGCACAAGGAUGGCACACAAAUUUGUGGAGUGUUCCAUAAAUUU